Long non-coding RNA from Neofelis nebulosa (Clouded leopard), 1825 nucleotides. RefSeq lists it as uncharacterized. NCBI's taxonomy places the organism in Eukaryota, Metazoa, Chordata, Mammalia, Carnivora, Felidae. The record is from RefSeq and is a predicted model, not a curated record. The transcript has 3 exons.
UCUGUCCCAUGGCAGGAUAUGGACGGGGAGCGGUGAACUGUCCUCCUCCUCUCUCCCGGGUAGGACAGCAGGCUCCCAGACCUGGGAAAACCUCCAGGAGGAGCACUUGGCACUUGCAGAGGCUGGAUUUUCUGCGUGGCAGGAUGAGAGCUCCACAGAGACGGUGUGGACCCAGAAGCCUGGACCACUCAGAGCCCCGAGAGGCUGAGUCACACCCACAUGUGUGAGAAACACCGACAGUGUCACAGCAUCGAAGGAUGCUGGAGCGGGUGUGGUCUUGUUGGAAGGAAAAGGGUCUGCGGUGGGACAGCUGGGCCAACCCCGGGGUCCCCUGGCUCCCAUGCACACCCACGGGGCACUUGGCCUGCCUCCUUAUUUCCGGGCAACUGCGCACCUGCUUCUCCCUCUGGGAGCCUCCCGGCCCUCCUGCCUUCUUGGCUUUCGUUAAGGUGGUUGAGAUAGAACUGUCCCAUAAUUCCGUGUGUUUAACCCUCUCUGGGCUGGGUCUCAACAGACCCGCACUGACAUGAAAUUGGUCACAGUCCAGGCAGAAAAUGUAACCCAUUCCAGAAAUCUCCGCGGUUAAGGUUAUGAAGGCACUGGAGGAGAUGAGAGGGCAGACAAGGGUGAAAGGCAGUCUUGAGAGUAGCAACCACUGGAAAAUGCUACCAUUCUUGGGUGGAAAGUCACAGAGAGGAGAUGAUGUUUCCAGAACCGGAGAGACUGGAAUCCUGGUGGAGGUUUCCUGGCAGGAACUGGGACCGCAGAGGUGACCUGCCAGGGUAGAACGACUCUGGUUUCUACCCUCCUGGCUGUGGCUGUUGGGACCUUGGCAAAUGUGGCCUGCAGGGAUCAGCCUCCUAGGGGAGGGAGCAGGGUGCAGGAGGGGAGGACCCGGAUCUGAGGGCAAACAAGCAAACGACCUGCCUAAUCUCCAGCUAGUCAGACCUUUGAAAGAGACUGCAUCCCUCCAAGGGGCGAUCCAGAGGGUUGGCCCUAAACUUGCCUCUGGAAAUUGUCCCAGAUCCUCUACUGGUUACUGUAAUUAGUGGUAAUGCCUAAGCAUUAUCCCUGCUGGGACUGAGGCAGAGAAAGUACCAUUUUUUCAAGCAGAUCUGCUUCUUGUGUAUUUUUCGAAGGCUAUGGGAACCUCUGGUUCUUGACCAAGCACCAGGUUUGACGAUAAAAUCAGUCUCGAGGGACGGAAAGAUCUAUGGCAGACACUCGGGCAGACUUACACGCGUGUUAGGAGGGACACUGGACUCAGGGUCAGGAGACCUGAGGGUAUGUCUUGGCUCAGACAAGUUGCUUACCAUCUUUGAGCCUCAGGCUGCACAUCUUUCAAAUGGGGACUCUGUGUUUGCCAGGGUUCUGUAGAAGUGAGCAACAGAAUGCACGCAAGGGGGGUUGUAGACGAUAGAACGUUCAGACAGAGAGUCUUGUGCCUGGGAAUGCACACGAUCACAGGAAUGUUGCUCAGCUCUGUUUCGGGGUCGAUGUAUCCCUUUGGAGUGGACACCUAUAACCCUUGUCUUGUAACCACAGAAUCGAACACGGCUGGAUUCCAGGCAGCUUGUCCAAACUUUCUCCUGAAGGAGGAACCUGUUCUCCAAAGUUCUCAAAGAUGAUCCUUCCCCCCCUCCCUUCCACAAAUAUUUGGAGCACCCACGCUUUGUCAGGCACUGUGCUGGUCCUGGGGCAGUAAUGGAGACAGAUAUGGGCCUCGUCCUCACCGAGCUGACAGUCUAGCACUUGAUGAAAGUCUCUGCAAACAAUUUCUGUUGAAUACCUUCAGUAACAGGAUGCUCGCCACCUUACAGGACGG